RNAcentral lists this ribosomal RNA (492 nucleotides) under uncultured bacterium. Its description in RNAcentral is "partial 16S ribosomal RNA". It matches the Rfam family "Bacterial small subunit ribosomal RNA", at positions 29 to 507 of the family's 1533-position model. The record is from RNAcentral.
AGUGAACGCUGGCGGUAGGCCUAACACAUGCAAGUCGAACGGCAGCACAGUAAGAGCUUGCUCUUACGGGAGGCGAGUGGCGGACGGGUGAGGAAUAAAUCGGAAUCUACUUGUUCGUGGGGGAUAACGUAGGGAAAAUUACGCUAAUACCGCAUACGACCUACGGGUGAAAGAAGGGGAUCUUCGGACCUUGCGCGAAUGCAUGAGCCGAUGUCGGAUUAGCUAGUUGGCGGGGUAAAGGCCCACCAAGGCGACGAUCCGUAGAUGGUCUGAGAGGAUGAUCAGCCACACUGGAACUGAGACACGGUCCAGACUCCUACGGGAGGCAGCAGUGGGGAAUAUUGGACAAUGGGCGCAAGCCUGAUCCAGCCAUACCGCGUGGGUGAAGAAGGCCUUCGGGUUGUAAAGCCCUUUUGUUGGGAAAGAAAAGCAGCAGGUUAAUACCCCGCUGUUCUGACGGUACCCAAAGAAUAAGCACCGGCUAACUUCGUG